Molecule: long non-coding RNA, 1031 nt
Filed under: Zostera marina
Lineage: Eukaryota; Viridiplantae; Streptophyta; Magnoliopsida; Alismatales; Zosteraceae
Description: long non-coding RNA (ZMAR_LNC000372)
Source: RNAcentral
CGAAAACCGAGGGUGACCAUUCUGGACGACGAGACGAUCUGGAUGAAAAGAUUGAUUGAGAUUAGUAUUAUCCAAUCUUAUAUUUCUUUCUUCUCGCCAUUCCCUGUGUAAUGUAUUGACUGUGUCUUUAUGUCUGAAAUAUGUGGUGGUGUAAGAAAGUGGUCUUACGGUGUUACCCGAUGAUGAGGAAGGGGAAAGGGAGCGGGGCCGGCAAUCUAAAAAUAGCAGGCAAGGAUUCCUUAUUUCCCUCUAUAUCUGAUUUGUUUAUUGACAUAUUUUUUUGAAAUCUUGUUUUGUUUCGGUAUUUCUGACAUUCUGAACUGCUGCUGCCUGGAGAGAGUCAAGAUGCUUUUCUUUUCUUUUCUCGGAGGAGGAUUCCUCUUUUCUUUUGUGUGUCCGUCGAUUCCAUCUUUUCAUCACAACUCAUUAAUUUCAACCAUCCUUGGUCACUUUUUCCAUCUUAUGGUCUUGCCCUAGCUAGCUAGCUAACAUCUCUUCUCUCGGUGGUGUUCCACCGGCCACCUAUAUCUGUUUUUCAUUGGUAUCGAUAUUGCCACUGCCCACUUGCCAUCUUCUGCCUGAAUGAGUCAAGUAAGAUGCUUGAAUACAUAUAUGAUUGAUCAAUGGGGUCAGACGAUAUAUUAAUUUAUUGCAAAGAUUAUGUUAAACGUUUUUGGCACAUGUCCAAAUAGUUUGAGAUUAAAAUUUAAUAAGCUGUAAUAUAAUGGAACAGGAACACUCUAUUAUCUCGAAGAUCACCAAUGCACACACUUCAACUCUCAUUAUUCUCUCAAAUCACCAUAAAUCAACACAUGUCACAUGUCUAUGAAAACAAGAUUUAGUUUUUUCCCCGUCCUAGAAAAAAGACCAGGAAAACAGGCGUUUUCAGAGCAAAAUCCUGCUCAAUCUUGACUCGUUCUUUUUUUUUUUUUGGGAUAACCAAAAAAGUAUGUGUGAUGAAAAGCUUAAUUGUGGGCUUGGCAAAACACAUAAUUCAUCCAUCUCAGGUUGAUCGAUGAACAUAAUUGCAU